Molecule: long non-coding RNA, 382 nt
Filed under: Gossypium barbadense (sea-island cotton)
Lineage: Eukaryota; Viridiplantae; Streptophyta; Magnoliopsida; Malvales; Malvaceae
Description: long non-coding RNA (GBAR_LNC016350)
Source: RNAcentral
AAAAGAUAAGCUACUCAAGGCCUUUCUGUUUUAUUUUUCCAUAAUAAUAUUUUACAAAUAGUCUGCCAUGCAUGGCACUGAUAUGAUAGUGAAGGCCUUAAUUUGAAGACACACUUUCUUUUAUAUCUACUGGCUAUCAAAUUUAGUAUAGCUAUAGUAGUAGUACAAGCAGACAAUACAGUAUUACUUAGUUUUGAUAGCCUUAAUUACCACCACAGUUAUGGUUCUAACUCAAAUGAUGCCUUCACUGUGAAGGGAUCAAUUUCAACUGAUGCAAUGUACCCAAACUUUGAAACUUUAAAUUUUUGUUUUCCUCUUUUAUCAAGAUUGGUUUUGAUUUGCCCCCAGUGAAUAGGUUGUUGCUGGAUAUCAGUAAACACCU